AGAGUUUGAUCAUGGCUCAGAACGAACGCUGGCGGCAGGCUUAACACAUGCAAGUCGAGCGCCGUAGCAAUACGGAGCGGCGGACGGGUGCGUAACGCGUGGGAACAUGCCCUUUGGUUCGGAAUAACCCAGGGAAACUUGGGCUAAUGCCGGAUAAGCCCCGGAAACGGGGGAAAGAUUUAUUGCCGAAGGAUUGGCCC
Molecule: ribosomal RNA, 200 nt
Filed under: uncultured bacterium
Lineage: Bacteria
Description: partial 16S ribosomal RNA
Rfam family: Bacterial small subunit ribosomal RNA
Source: RNAcentral